UACGGAGGGUGCAAGCGUUGUUCGGAAUCACUGGGCGUAAAGGGCGUGUAGGCGGUCCGCUAAGUCUGAUGUGAAAGCCCGGGGCUCACCCCCGGAAGGGCAUUGGAAACUGGCGGACUCGAGUCCCGGAGAGGAAGGUGGAAUUCCUGGUGUAGCGGUGAAAUGCGUAGAUAUCAGGAGGAAUACCGGUGGCGAAGGCGGCCUUCUGGACGGUGACUGACGCUGAGGCGCGAAAGCGUGGGGAGCGAACAGG
RNAcentral lists this ribosomal RNA (253 nucleotides) under uncultured bacterium. RNAcentral's name for it is "partial 16S ribosomal RNA". It matches the Rfam family "Bacterial small subunit ribosomal RNA", at positions 524 to 776 of the family's 1533-position model. The record is from RNAcentral.